This 331-nucleotide long non-coding RNA is filed under the name Homo sapiens (human). Its description in RNAcentral is "HSALNT0390693". Lineage: Eukaryota; Metazoa; Chordata; Mammalia; Primates; Hominidae. The record is from RNAcentral.
CCCAUUGCUAGAAGGAAGCCAACCCAAAAGCAUUCAGCAGGAGAGCCCAGGGGAGACAAUCUAUAGGUCUCUACUUCCUCCUGAGGCACAGACAAGAUCACAGAUGGAACUGAGAGGCAGGUGGGGAAUAAUUGGCACAGGAGUAAUCCAGUGAUUCCUGACGCAUGUGCAAGAGGAGGUCUGCUAUCUGAGAAAGAUGAGUAUGGCUUCCAAUUCUCUUCUCAGCAUGCCUAGGAAAUUUGAAUACAUUCCAGGAAAGAAGUCCAAUCAAGACGUUACUGCUAAGGUCGUAGCAAAGGAAAUGUUCACAGCAAAGACAGGGACGACCAAG